UCCCUGGUAGUAUAUCGGUUAGUACACGCGCCUGUCAUGUGUGCGCUCUUUCACCGCGCGAAAGCUGGGUUCGACUCCCAGCCAGGGAG
Molecule: transfer RNA, 89 nt
Filed under: Lentinula boryana
Lineage: Eukaryota; Fungi; Basidiomycota; Agaricomycetes; Agaricales; Omphalotaceae
Description: tRNA-Asp
Rfam family: tRNA
About the family: Transfer RNA (tRNA) molecules are approximately 80 nucleotides in length. Their secondary structure includes four short double-helical elements and three loops (D, anti-codon, and T loops).
Source: RNAcentral